RNAcentral lists this long non-coding RNA (258 nucleotides) under Ailuropoda melanoleuca (giant panda). RNAcentral describes it as "lncRNA (ENSAMEG00000024686.1)". The record is from RNAcentral. Lineage: Eukaryota; Metazoa; Chordata; Mammalia; Carnivora; Ursidae.
AUUCUUGACAUGAGCAAAGAAAGAUGAUGUGAGUGCAGGGGCAUGGGUGGAUGGCCCUGCCAAAGCAUGGCCCCUGUGGACAGGACACAGCUCUCCCAGGAUCUGGGGAAGACGCAUAUGGUACAGAUACCUGGACAUACAGAAAAACUGGGUACCUGGGGCUAGGACUCCACCAUCUCUUUCUGUGCAACGGAAGGGAGACAGCAACAUGAAGCAGAUUUGAAAACUAUUAAGAGACUACGUGAAUGCUUCUAAAAG